GCGAGAGUGGUGAAACUGGUAGACACGCUAGCCUUAGGAGCUAGUGCCCUCGGCAUAAGGGUUCGAGUCCCUUCUCUCGCAC
Molecule: transfer RNA, 82 nt
Filed under: Spirochaetia bacterium
Lineage: Bacteria; Pseudomonadati; Spirochaetota; Spirochaetia
Description: tRNA-Leu
Rfam family: tRNA
About the family: Transfer RNA (tRNA) molecules are approximately 80 nucleotides in length.
Source: RNAcentral